RNAcentral lists this long non-coding RNA (2156 nucleotides) under Anser brachyrhynchus (Pink-footed goose). RNAcentral describes it as "lncRNA (ENSABRG00000010082.1)". Lineage: Eukaryota; Metazoa; Chordata; Aves; Anseriformes; Anatidae. The record is from RNAcentral.
GCCCGCGGCGGGCGGGAGCCGAGGCGCUGCGGCGGCGGCGGGCGGGGGGGCUCCACGCGCCGCUUCGUGCCCCCCCCCCCAAUCCUCCUCCUCCUCUUCCUGCUCCCCUUUCUCCGCCGCCACCGGCCCGCGGCCCUGCACCAUCGGCAGGCCGGGCCGAGCCGUGCCGGGGCUCCGGGCACAGCCCCGAGCAGAGCCCGCAGCCCUGCCGCCGCGCCCCCGCCCGCCUGUCUGUUUUCCCUUUGUACUUUCCAUCCCGCUGUACCCCCCAUCUCCUCAUCCCAUAACGUUUUUUUUUUUUUUUUUUCCACAGGAAUAAUGUGUUAAUCAAUCUUUUACUUUUGUUUCCGGAUCUGACAUGGUGGCCCACACAAUCUACAACAUUAACAAAAAGGUCACUUAGAGAUAAAACACGUUUGACAAGUGAAGAACAAGGCAAGUGCUUUAGGGGUCGCGUCCAAUUCCUGACCUGGACUCCGACCAGAACAGGCGCUGAUCCUGGAAGGGGUGGGCGAGAGGAAGGACUUCCACUUUCUCGCCUUUAUAUCUGCUGAACCAAGUCCCUUUUCUUCCCUCGAAACACCGAUCUCCCCCAGCCCCUUAGCAGAUGGAUCAGAUAGCCUUUAAUGAUCUUCUCUCCUUACGAGGUAGACAUAAGGCACGUUUUCCUAGAUAUCCUCCCCACCCCCCCGUAAAGCGGUACCCUUUAAAUCCUGCAGCCAAAAAGUUCAUAUGCUCAAUGGAUGACAAAGUAAGGCUGCAGUAUGAGAGUGCGAAGAGUUUUUUUCCAGACCAGCUUCAUUCAGGUACUCCCAACUCUGAUAAAUGUACUACCUUUAGUGUCAGGAGCAGAGAUUAAAGGCAACAGGAGCUUGGCCAAGGUCACAAGUCCUUACAGUAAAUAAGUGGUCCGUUCAAGUAAACUUAUUAAAUUGUGGCCACAGAAGAACAGAGGCUAGACAGAGUUAGCAGCUCUUAAAUUCCAGUUCCAGGUUUACCAUUAACAGCAUGCAACUUUAUUGUGUGGCUUUGUAUCUGUAAAAUGGGGUCCUGCUAUUUAGUUAUCAAUUACAAAGAGUUUUAAUGAGGAUAAAAUAGUAAAUGCUUUAAUGCAUUACCAUGUCAUAACAAAGCCAAGAACUUAAUCUCAUAUUCCCUAAAGCAGUGCAGUAACACAAUGCACUGUGUCUUUCUGCAUAAUAGUGAAGUUGAAUCAAGAAUCAUCUUUUUUCCUGUUUAGGGUGUCGUGCUCUCUUGUCAUAACAAACAGUGUUAUUUCAAAUGCCAGUGCUGCCCCAAGUUUUAUGUUUUGCAUUACUCGGUGACCAGAAGCAAACAUGCUUCGAGGUUUCUGUUUCCUCCACUGAUUUUUCAAACUCAUGAAAUGAUGUAGUACAACAUGUGUGUGCAAUGAUGAGAUUUAUUUGGUCCUUUGAAUUAGUAGCUGCCACAUAUUUCUAUAAUAUUUGAAGUUAGUGGUCAUGCAGGUGUUUUUUUUUAUUUUUUUUUAGAUUUAUGCAAUAUGGUUUUCUUAUUAUUUUACCUGUGACCUUGAAAUCAUGAAUAGUCUCCAUGCUAGUGUGACAGAGGUACAAAUGGUAUCAUUUUAUAGCUUUGGUUGUCUUGUUUGAAUGUUAUUAAUAUACAAAGGUAAAAUCAAUUAACAAAAUACCCUUUUUGAAAUGUAAUUUAUUAACUCUGUAUUAGAGUAUUCUUCGGUUGAACAGCUCUAAGACAGAGAUAAUAUAAUAGUGUUGUGGCUACUUCAGUUAUGGCUUGCUUCGUCUCUCCUUGGACUAAAAGGCAAAAUUUUCUCAUUUUCUUAUACAUGAACAGAAUUGGACUGUAGUAAGCAGCUGUUUUAGUUCAGUAAUCAACCAUUGUUUCAUUCCCACAUUUUUAUCAUGAUCUCAGUGGGAAAAGCAAAUUUAAGUAGGAUGCUUUUAUAGGUAUGAUAGGUUUUUAAUAUCAAAGUAUAUUAAUAAGAAAGAAGAAUAGUCGGACCCAAAUUAUAAUAUCUAAGGAGCGCAGUAAACAUUACAACUCAAUUUAAAAUACCAUAGAGAUGCUUCAGUUUGGUCUGUUGGUAUCCAUUCAUAUCUGUUACUGUUAAUAAUAAUAAUAAACCAUAUUAGUUAAACGGGGCGGGGGGGAUA